UAUAAUAUGUAGCAUCCUCCUUGUUGAUGCUAAGGCCAGCAGCUAGUAUGCACUACAGCUUAUCAUGUCAUUCUUUUUGAUAGUAGGAAAACUAUGACUCACUGAACAUGCAUUUAGAAAACUGUAAGGAAUAGCAGAUUUUUUUUUCAAUGUUACUAGUGUAAUUGUGCUGCUUUUAUUUAUUAUUAGUGUGUUAUUGUGUAUACUGCUCUUAACUUGUGUGUUUUUUAUAUUCUGAUUUUUAUUUAUUGUCUAUAACUGUUAUGUGUUUAUCUGCUGGAUACCUGAAUUUUCCCACGGGGAUGAAUAAAGUAUCUAUCUAUCUAUCUAUCACCAAAAGUAGUAAUUGUCUCUGAAAAAUCAACUUUUUAGCUUCAUCCUGAGGAAAAGCACAUUGGGCCUCAUUCACAAACAGUGUGUACGCACAAAUCUGUGCUUAAACUGUGCGUAUGAUCGUUUGACGCACAAAUCCAGGAUUCAUCAAUAUUUUCUUACCCGAAUUUGUUCUUACUCUGCGAACUAAUUUAGAACUGGUUCAGACCAUGCGUGCGCACAAAUGAGGAAGGCCGAACUGACUUAGAAAAUGCAAACAUACCUUUUAAGUACAUGCAGAGUCUAUAAAACCACAUUCAUGAAAAAGAGAUUUAAUUAACAUUUUUUAAAAUAAUUUACUAAUAUAUUGGCCAAAUGGAUUAAAUUACCAUGAAAUUGACACACGUUCACCCUCAUCAUUGUGACAAUUAAAAUAUAAACAAUAACAUGAACAGAAAAACUAUCACUCCAUCAGCGUGCAGAUGAUCUGUAAUGCCGACUGCCAUAUCCUUAAGGCUGUGGCCUGCUGGCCAGGAGGCACCCACGACUCAUUUAUUUUGCAAAACAGUACAGUGGGAAUGCGUUUGGAGGCAGGGGCUGUGAGAAGUGGAUGGCUUGUUGGUGAGCAUCUUUUGUUCUAGUCUUUUAUUUCAAUUGUUUUAAGUUAGUAUUUUCAGUAAGUCUCUAUUCCGUUAAUGUUAAAAUGUUAUUGUUUGGGUGACCGGGCAUAUGGCCUUAAAACAUGGCUGAUGACACCAUAUGCAAACCCUGAAGCCCCUCAAGAGGUGCACUAUAAUAACAUACAUGCCCACACACGCGCCGUAGAGCGCACUUUUGGCGUGCUUAAGGGCCGUUGGAUGUGUUUGGAUCAGAUACGGCCGGUGGCAAACUACUUUAUACCCCUGAGAAGGUGUGCAAGAUCAUCCUGGCAUGCUGUGUCCUCCACAAUCUUACAAUGACCCAUGGCAUUCCUGUAAGACCCGGCGCCAUGGCUUCUAACAAACUGUGAAAUUUGCUACUUCUCUCCUCGCGUAACCGCUUCCUUCAUUCAUGAAUCAACUCCAGGCAAGCGGCUUCCUUAUAUGGAGAAAUGGGGGCGUGGUAGUAUGCUAUGAUUGCAGAUCGCGGACACGCGCCUGUCAAUUUAGAAUGGUUAUGAUUUACUAACAUACGCACAGUGGUGAGAACAAAAUUGGCCGGUACGCACGUGUCAUGAAUCCGACGGUGAUUUUGCGCAAGUACUUAUUUUUUUGCAGAGAGUAAGAACAUUUCUGCGCAGAUAUUAGUGAAUGAGGCCCAUUGUGCUUGUCAUCAGUCCUCUCAAGGCCCUGAUGAAGGACCAGGUGAGCUGCUGGACAAACCUGGGGAUUAAAAGUGCUGCAGUCACCAGAGACAUGUCUGCAGAAGACAAACAAUCUGUUCUGGACUGCAACGUGAACCUUGUGUUCAUGUCCUCUGAGGCUGAAGCGGACACCUUAUGGUUUGGCUGGGUGAGGCAGAAUAAAGAAAAGAUCUGCCUCUUGGCGAUCGAUGAGGCUCACUGCCUUACAAGCUGGUAAGAUAAAUUGAUAGUUUAACAACAAAUAUAAUGUACCCUUAAUUAUUAAAUUUUCAAAGUCAGGGGAAAAAGCUUUCAGGGGGACUACCUAAGGAUCCCCAGUCUGAGGAUAUAUAUCACAGCGCCAGUCCUGCUACUGACGGCGACAGUGACCCAGGACAUGGUCACUGAGAUACUAAACCUCCUCUGCCUGGAACCACCCCCAGUGACAAUGGUCACCUAGCUUUCCGACAGGCCCAACGUUUUCCUGGAUGUCCAAAGGACGAAAGAUGAGGACAUCACAAAGGCAGCAGAAUGGCUGGUACCUCACCUGCGCCAGGGGAAAAAUGCAGGGAAGGUCAUUGUGUACUGCAGGACCAUCAGUGGUGUGACCAAUGUCUACCAUAACAUCAUGGCAAAGUUGGGGAAUGCUGCCUGGGUGUCAGAUGAACACACAGUCCACACCAGGAUAGUGGAAAUGUUCCACAGCCACCUUUACUCCAACAGCCAGAAAAGGACAUUGGAUGCAUUUGUUGAAAUGGCAACAAAUGUGCGCUGUGUAGUUGCCACAGUGGCCUUUGGGCUUGGAGUGCAGGUGCCAGAUGUUAGAUGCAUCCUCCACUGGGGACCGGCCUCAGACAUUCUUUCGUACUGACAAGAGGUUGGACAAUGCGCUAGGGAUGGUGGUGGGGGAACCGCCAUAACCUACCUUUACCCGAGGUCGAUAAAUAAGUCAUUUAUCAACAGCAAAAACAUUGAAAUGCUACAGAAAAUUGAAACGGGCACUUGCACUCAGAGGUCAGUGUUCAAGUUUCUGCACCUGAAGGGAUUGAGCCAAGACUACAGCAGGACUUGUGAGCGUCAAGGUUGCUGCUCGAUUUGCAACACCAGACUGCAGAACUAGAGGUAAACUGAUGCAUCGGCCGGCCGAUAUUUAUCGGGCCGAUAUCUGUGUUUUUUUAGGGCUGUCAAGAUUAAUCGAGUUAAUCGCGAUUAAUUUUUUUUAAAAGUUAACUUGUUCAUUUAUUUUAACUGCGACCUAUUUUGUCCCUCUAUUUUGUGUUUCCUGUGUAAUUCACAUGGCGGUGAAAUAACACCCUGUUCUGUUUGUAAUAAGCUAGGUGCAAAUCUCCCUAUUUUUGUAGCAGCAUAAGAGAGUGAUCUGCUCUUUGUAUGAACGUUGUCUUAUUGCAGUGGUUCUCAAACAUUUCCGGUCAUGCCCCUCCGGUCAAGCGCUAUAUUUCUGUAUUCCUGCUAACAGAAUGCUUAUGGACAGAAUUAGAAUAUGCAAAACACUUUGAAGUUGUCUACUACCUCUUUAGUUUUAAGACCACAUUGUUGUGUCAUUUUAUGUUGAAGCUGUAUUUUAAGUAGACAUGUUAAUUGGGUCUACAUUGCACUUUGCAACCAAAAACAAAUACUAUGCUGCUUUUUGCUAGUGUGUGCAAUACUACUUUAAUUUAAUAUUUUAUUAAUGUUUACAU
Epinephelus moara (kelp grouper) is the source of this 3333-nucleotide long non-coding RNA. RefSeq lists it as uncharacterized. NCBI's taxonomy places the organism in Eukaryota, Metazoa, Chordata, Actinopteri, Perciformes, Serranidae. The transcript has 4 exons. The record is from RefSeq and is a predicted model, not a curated record.